This 82-nucleotide transfer RNA is filed under the name Ameiurus melas (black bullhead). Its description in RNAcentral is "tRNA-Ser". It matches the Rfam family "tRNA". From Rfam's summary of the family: Transfer RNA (tRNA) molecules are approximately 80 nucleotides in length. Their secondary structure includes four short double-helical elements and three loops (D, anti-codon, and T loops). The record is from RNAcentral. Lineage: Eukaryota; Metazoa; Chordata; Actinopteri; Siluriformes; Ictaluridae.
GAUGAGGUGGCCGAGAGGUUAAGGCGAUGGACUGCUAAUCCAUUGUGCUCUGCACGCGAGGUUCGAGUCCCACCCCUUCGCA